GGGCCUGUCAUCUAAUGGAUAGGAUACGUGGCUUCGGACCAUGGCGUCGGGGUUCGAAUCCCUGCAGGCCCA
RNAcentral lists this transfer RNA (72 nucleotides) under Nanobdellota archaeon. RNAcentral's name for it is "tRNA-Arg". It matches the Rfam family "tRNA". Rfam says of the family: Transfer RNA (tRNA) molecules are approximately 80 nucleotides in length. Their secondary structure includes four short double-helical elements and three loops (D, anti-codon, and T loops). Further hydrogen bonds mediate the characteristic L-shaped molecular structure. tRNAs have two regions of fundamental functional importance: the anti-codon, which is responsible for specific mRNA codon recognition, and the 3' end, to which the tRNAs corresponding amino acid is attached (by aminoacyl-tRNA synthetases). tRNAs cope with the degeneracy of the genetic code in two manners: having more than one tRNA (with a specific anti-codon) for a particular amino acid; and 'wobble' base-pairing, i.e. permitting non-standard base-pairing at the 3rd anti-codon position. The record is from RNAcentral. Lineage: Archaea; Nanobdellati; Nanobdellota.